GGCAGUUUCAGAGAAUGGUUCUCGACCAUCACAGUGUGGGACAAAAGAAAGUGAUGGGGUUUGAUUGUGAUAUCAUAGUAUCAAUUGGGAUAGUUUACAUUAGUUAGUCUGCCUAGUGUGAUUUUGGGUUGUUGGCAUGCGUAGACAAGGAAUGUCCAUGGAAGGGAAGAGUUAGCUUUGUGUACAAGUAAUACACAAUAAGAAGGGGAUGAGUCAUGGAGAGGAAAGAGCAGGCAAUCCUAAUGCACUUGUCUGCACCUGGUAGGUGAUGAAUGCAUAGUGUUGUAAUUAAAAUCUCCUGGUGGAACAUGAGGAUGGUAAGUUGAGUGAACAUAGAGGUUGAAUAAGAGAGGAGUAAGUAAUUGGGGAUAGAUGUAAGGAAAGUAAGUGUUUUUCCUAUCUCAAGUAGUGAAGAAGAAGUGUUGGGAGCCUAGGGAUCUGGGUAGCCAUUGUGAAGGGAAUGCCUAUGGGUAGUGUGAAGGGAAUGCCUAUGUGGCAUGCUGGCAAUGCGUAUCUUCAUGAGAGCAUAGUAAACGAAAAUAUAUUGAGAG
Molecule: unclassified non-coding RNA, 551 nt
Filed under: Hevea brasiliensis (rubber tree)
Lineage: Eukaryota; Viridiplantae; Streptophyta; Magnoliopsida; Malpighiales; Euphorbiaceae
Source: RNAcentral